CUCCUCUGUUUCUUCCCUCAGCAUGUUACUGUAGGGCUACACCUUUCUAAAGGAAGUAUUCUACACCAGUCUAGUAAGCUGGUGAGGUUUUGAACUUUUGGCUGUGCACUCAGAAGUUAAUAGCAAAAGCAAGCUUUAACCACACAUCUGGUUUUGAAGAUCAAGAUUCCCAUCUACAGCUGUGGUUCAUGUGUCCCCCCCAUGUGUUAUGUACAGUUGCAUCAUGCUAUUCUCAUAUGCUGUGAAUGCAAAGCAAAAAGCUUCUGGCAGCCUAUUUACAGUUCACAGUUGUAAAGUAGUUCACAUUACAGUAGUAGUUCCAUCAAAAUAGGCUCAGCUGAACAUUCAAGUAACAAAAAAAUGCUGUUAGUCUCUUUGCACCAAGAUAUCCUUGCAUCCAUUGCCAGCAAUGGACUUUAUGCCAAAUGAGUCAGCUCCUGCCGUGGAGGAAGAUCUACAAUUGAUGCAGAGAGCAACCUCUCAGUGUGUGCAGUUGCAGACAAUGCUUAAAAGUCUCAUCAAGGUGUUUUCUGAUGCGCAGUGUGCAUGUGUCCAAGUUCUUCACAGUAUAGAGAUUCUGCUGGUUACACACAUCAUAACCAUAGUCCAUGUGUCACUCCAAGUUAGCUAUGUACAUCUGUGCCAUUUGGAGUUAGCUUAGCUUUCCUCUCUACGCAAGGUCCUUUAGCAGAGUACUGCACCAGAAGAAAGGGCUCUUUGGUUUCUCCUUCGCCCACGAUGCUUUCUUCAUCUUCAGACUGGCUGAUCCUCUGCAGCCGCAGGUAACACCAGCAGCCCAGAAUCAAGGCACCAAGAGCUGCGAUAGCAAUCAAAAUAACAAUGACAGUCACCACUCCCGUGGUGGGGCUGUGAUCCGUAAUAGACAUGGUUAGUAUGUCAGAUUGUCCAGCUUCUUAAAGACUCUUCUGCCUGCACUAUCAGGCUUCACUGUAUUUUCAGACUCCGUCCGCCACAGCUCCGCCGCACAGCACCGCCCGCUCCGACGCCACCG
Molecule: long non-coding RNA, 1012 nt
Filed under: Gallus gallus (chicken)
Lineage: Eukaryota; Metazoa; Chordata; Aves; Galliformes; Phasianidae
Source: RNAcentral